GGAGUCGGCCGGAUGGUCGCUGCUUUGCAAAAAGUGGAGGAAAGUCCGGGCUCCGAUGGACAGGGUGCCAGGUAACGCCUGGGAGGUGUGAGCCUACGGAAAGUGCCACAGAAAAUAUACCGCCCCCGAUCUUCGGAUUGGGUGGUAAGGGUGAAAUGGUGCGGUAAGAGCGCACCGCGCUGCUGGCAACAGCAGUGGCAGGGUAAACCCCACCCGGAGCAAGACCAAAUAGGGGGGCAGGCGAUUCGAUCGCCACGUGUGGUCCGCACGGUCCCCGGGUAGGUCGCUUGAGGUGUACGGUGACGUGCAUCCCAGAUGAAUGGCCAUUCAAGACAGAACCCGGCUUAUAGGCCGACUCCCAAC
This 363-nucleotide RNase P RNA is filed under the name Sedimenticola selenatireducens. RNAcentral's name for it is "RNase P RNA component class A". It matches the Rfam family "Bacterial RNase P class A". Rfam says of the family: Ribonuclease P (RNase P) is a ubiquitous endoribonuclease, found in archaea, bacteria and eukarya as well as chloroplasts and mitochondria. The record is from RNAcentral. Lineage: Bacteria; Pseudomonadati; Pseudomonadota; Gammaproteobacteria; Chromatiales; Sedimenticolaceae.